AUGCCUGCUUUUCUGAUUUCACAGAUUUCUGAAUUCUUGGGAGCAGCAGCUUAUCAUGCCGAGGUCACCUGUUCAUCUGUUUGUUCCAGUACAGCAGUGUCAUUACUGUGUUGCUCUCCAGCAUUAGGCUGCAGCUCGGAAGAGGCAAGAGCCGUGUUCAGCUUACUUAUACUGAAGCGCUGGCUCGCCUGUAGAUGCUGCCCAGUCUCGGGACGUAUUGCUUUCAACACAGCCGGAGGCGCAGAGAAACAGGCUGUUGGAGUUGUAAUUUGUAGGUGUUUUGGAGGGGUGCUUUUUGAGAUGAAGAUGCCUGAGUAGUUCGGAUGCCAGCACUGCCACAGAGCUCCUCCGCUGUUGAAUAGCUGCUCUCAUGCCUCUGUGCCCAGGGAGCCUUGCACUUACACAGGCAGGUGGAAACCCUCCCUUGGCAAACAUGUCGAGGGGCUGGUUCUGCAGACGCCUGCCACCAGCUGCACUAUGUCCUGCUGUAGGUAAUGCUGCUGCCUCCUGACAUGAUUAAUAGCGCUAAGCCCCGAGCUUGAGUAACAGCUGUUGCCACGAUCAGGCCUCCAAAUGAGGUGCCAAAUAGCAACGAAGCAAGAAAGCCCCCAAACCCCAGCGAGGCCAAAAAAAAAAACAACCCAGGGAAAAUAAUUCUUGUUUCUGUGCCCUGGGGUGUAAAUCCAGAACACCUCUGUGCAUCAGCAAAGUCAGGCCAACAGCGUGGGUUUUCACCCUGGAUGCUCAGGACCCUUCAGAGCUGUUGGUCCUGGUGGCUCCGAGCAAGGGGGCAAAUCCCUGCCUGGCACAGGCUGCUUGUGCUGCAGCACUACCCAGGGAGCUGCAGAGGCUGCCUUUGUGUAACCAAGGUGUUUGCCGAAAAAAACAGGUGUUGUUUCUGCUGCUGGAUGUGAAUGCUGUGAGCUGUCAUCUUGGCUUUCUCUUUUUUUAUUAUUUAGAAGACAGAACAAAUACGAGAAAAUGAACUGCAAAUAAUGACUAACAGCACUUCCAGUCCAAAUGUUUGCUCACAUAAGCAUGUGGAAACUUUGAAGGCUUGUGAAUGGUUCUGGCACUGCUUAUAAUACAGCUGGGCCCAAAGACAGUUGAGAUGCUCCUCUCCCAGUGUCAGAAGAGCCUAGGGCACUGGGAGGUGCAUUCAGGGCUUCUCCCAGGUCCUCGGAGAAGUGGGGUGAUGGAAAGUCAGCGCAGUCCAAAGAUGUAGUGGUGGAUGUGCUGUGU
RNAcentral lists this long non-coding RNA (1242 nucleotides) under Anser brachyrhynchus (Pink-footed goose). Its description in RNAcentral is "lncRNA (ENSABRG00000020346.1)". Lineage: Eukaryota; Metazoa; Chordata; Aves; Anseriformes; Anatidae. The record is from RNAcentral.